This 512-nucleotide ribosomal RNA is filed under the name Azoarcus indigens. RNAcentral describes it as "bacterial SSU rRNA". It matches the Rfam family "Bacterial small subunit ribosomal RNA", at positions 373 to 876 of the family's 1533-position model. Lineage: Bacteria; Pseudomonadati; Pseudomonadota; Betaproteobacteria; Rhodocyclales; Zoogloeaceae. The record is from RNAcentral.
GGGGGAAACCCUGAUCCAGCCAUGCCGCGUGAGUGAAGAAGGCCUUCGGGUUGUAAAGCUCUUUCGGACGGAAAGAAAUCGCUUCGACUAAUACUCGGAGUGGAUGACGGUACCGUAAGAAGAAGCACCGGCUAACUACGUGCCAGCAGCCGCGGUAAUACGUAGGGUGCGAGCGUUAAUCGGAAUUACUGGGCGUAAAGCGUGCGCAGGCGGUUUGCUAAGACAGGUGUGAAAUCCCCGGGCUUAACCUGGGAACUGCGCUUGUGACUGGCAGGCUAGAGUACGGCAGAGGGGGGUGGAAUUCCACGUGUAGCAGUGAAAUGCGUAGAGAUGUGGAGGAACACCGAUGGCGAAGGCAGCCCCCUGGGCCUGUACUGACGCUCAUGCACGAAAGCGUGGGGAGCAAACAGGAUUAGAUACCCUGGUAGUCCACGCCCUAAACGAUGUCGACUAGUUGUUCGUAGAGGUAACUCUGUGAGUAACGCAGCUAACGCGUGAAGUCGACCGCCUGG